GGCCGCGGGAAUUCGAUUCAGGCCUAACACAUGCAAGUCGAACGGCAGCACGGAGCUUGCUCUGGUGGCGAGUGGCGAACGGGUGAGUAAUAUAUCGGAACGUACCCUGGAGUGGGGGAUAACGUAGCGAAAGUUACGCUAAUACCGCAUACGAUCUAAGGAUGAAAGUGGGGGAUCGCAAGACCUCAUGCUCGUGGAGCGGCCGAUAUCUGAUUAGCUAGUUGGUAGGGUAAAAGCCUACCAAGGCAUCGAUCAGUAGCUGGUCUGAGAGGACGACCAGCCACACUGGAACUGAGACACGGUCCAGACUCCUACGGGAGGCAGCAGUGGGGAAUUUUGGACAAUGGGCGAAAGCCUGAUCCUUAAAGGCCGCGUGAGUGAAGAAGCCCUUCGGGUU
This 397-nucleotide ribosomal RNA is filed under the name uncultured bacterium. RNAcentral describes it as "bacterial SSU rRNA". It matches the Rfam family "Bacterial small subunit ribosomal RNA", at positions 34 to 424 of the family's 1533-position model. The record is from RNAcentral.